This 209-nucleotide ribosomal RNA is filed under the name uncultured Pusillimonas sp. RNAcentral describes it as "partial 16S ribosomal RNA". It matches the Rfam family "Bacterial small subunit ribosomal RNA", at positions 1172 to 1382 of the family's 1533-position model. The record is from RNAcentral. Lineage: Bacteria; Pseudomonadati; Pseudomonadota; Betaproteobacteria; Burkholderiales; Alcaligenaceae.
GGUGGGGAUGACGUCAAGUCCUCAUGGCCCUUAUGGGUGGGGCUCACACGUCAUACAAUGGUCGGGACAGAGGGUCGCCAACCCGCAGGGGGAGCCAAUCCCAGAAACCCGAUCGUAGUCCGGAUUGCAGGCUGCAACUCGCCUGCAUGAAGUCGGAAUCGCUAGUAAUCGCGGAUCAGCAUGUCGCGGUGAAUACGUUCCCGGGUCUU